GCUGUCAUAUCACAUAGACAAUCGCCAUGGCCAAGUGGUUGGAGAUGCAAAGUAACUCAGCUCGAAUCAGGCGUCUCUGGAACACGUUUUACAACACCGUUUUGCAAGCCGUGGUAUUUUCCAAAAGGACAGUCUCUGGAACAGGAGGUUUUGGUUAUGCUCUAGAACGACCUCGUGCUGAUUUACAAUGCUAAAGGCCAUCGGUCGCUGUGAGUGGCUUCGCCGAGGCACAUGCAACCAAUGGAAGGAGUCAGAGAAGACCUAGUAGAAGGGUUAUGUGGAAAAGCCCAGUGAUGAGAGACGUAUUACUCUGCCGGAUAUGGAGGUCAUCCCCAGGGCCCUACCACCUCCUGCACUCCACGUCCUCAAGAAAACAAACCAUUUGGUCUUUGCCUCAGGCCACAAACACACUGAUUAUGUCCUCCAUGUUUGCAUACAUGCAUUCAUGCUUACGUUUUCUGUGAGGACCCACUUAUUGUUAUCUUACUCUGUGUGUUGUUUGAUUGGUAGAGUGUUAAACUGCCCGGUUUUUGGAGUGUAGGCUGGAACUGGUUGCCUGACUGACUGCUUGGUGUGUGGAGUCGGGGCUUUGCCCAGGCGGCCUCACACUGCUUGGCUGCCUGUUAUGUAAAUGGGGCUGUCAGCCACUUGUUAUGGCAGGGCUGUUAGUGGGCCUGGGAGUCAUCAGGAAGCUCUGACAGCUUCUCUGGGUCCCAGGUCUACCAGUGAUUCAUAGCUGGCUUGGGGACAGGGGGAAGUUCAAGUCUGCCGUAAUCCAAACACUGAGAAAAUGGAAUGAGAGGAAAGGAAACUGAGAAAGUAAGGAAAAUAUGGUGAGAGACAGUGAAAUGGGGGAUGGAAAGCAAGAGAGGGAUGUCUAACAGUUGCCUCCCAUGAUGCCAAUACUUUAUAGAGACUGAGAGAGAAUGAGUGAGAGAGAGAGAAG
Molecule: long non-coding RNA, 946 nt
Organism: Esox lucius (northern pike)
Lineage: Eukaryota; Metazoa; Chordata; Actinopteri; Esociformes; Esocidae
Exons: 4
Source: RefSeq, a predicted model, not a curated record